GAUGAACGCUGGCGGCGUGCCUAAUACAUGCAAGUCGAGCGAACGGACGAGAAGCUUGCUUCUCUGAUGUUAUCGGCGGACGGGUGAGUAACACGUGGAUAACCUACCUAUAAGACUGGGAUAACUUCGGGAAACCGGAGCUAAUACCGGAUGAUAUUUUGAACUUCAUGGUUCAAAAGUGAAAGACGGUCUUGCUGUCACUUAUAGAUUGAUCCGCGCUGCAUUAGCUAGUUGGUAAGGUAACGGCUUACCAAGGCAACGAUGCAUAGCCGACCUGAGAGGGUGGACGGCCACCCGGGAACUGAGGCACGGUCCAGACUCCUACGGGAGGCAGCAGUAGGGAAUCUUCCGCGAUGGGGGAAAGCCUGACGGAGCAACGCCGCGUGAGUGAUGAAGGUCUUCGGAUCGUAGAGCUAUGUUAUUAGGGAAGAACAUAUGUGUAAGUAACUGUGCACAUCUUGACGGUACCUAAUCAGAAAGCCACGGCUAACUACGUG
Molecule: ribosomal RNA, 497 nt
Filed under: uncultured bacterium
Lineage: Bacteria
Description: partial 16S ribosomal RNA
Rfam family: Bacterial small subunit ribosomal RNA
Source: RNAcentral